CGACAGCGCAGGUUCGACACCUCGUCAUACCAACAGCGUGCAGAAGCAUUAGAAGGGUUGCUUGAGUUUAGUGCACGGCUCUUGCAACAGAAACGGUUCGACGAACUUGCGGUGCUGUUGAAGCCGUUUGGACCAGAGAAGGUUUCUCCUCGAGAAACUGCCAUUUGGUUGGCAAAGAGCUUCAAGGAGACUGCAGUCUAGAGUACCUGAAUAUCGCAUGUUUAUUGCUGCUUGUCCAUAUUGACAUGUAACUUGAGAAAAUUAGG
This 266-nucleotide unclassified non-coding RNA is filed under the name Hevea brasiliensis (rubber tree). The record is from RNAcentral. Lineage: Eukaryota; Viridiplantae; Streptophyta; Magnoliopsida; Malpighiales; Euphorbiaceae.